UGUGGAGAGGGGAGUGAGGGUACCGUGUGCUAUUGGGUAACCCUUCCUACUCUCACAUU
This 59-nucleotide microRNA precursor is filed under the name Sarcophilus harrisii (Tasmanian devil). Its description in RNAcentral is "mir-7398 microRNA precursor family". It matches the Rfam family "mir-7398 microRNA precursor family". The record is from Rfam by way of RNAcentral. Lineage: Eukaryota; Metazoa; Chordata; Mammalia; Dasyuromorphia; Dasyuridae.